This 524-nucleotide ribosomal RNA is filed under the name Atractus dunni (Dunn's ground snake). RNAcentral's name for it is "partial 16S ribosomal RNA". It matches the Rfam family "Bacterial large subunit ribosomal RNA", at positions 1808 to 2608 of the family's 2925-position model. Lineage: Eukaryota; Metazoa; Chordata; Lepidosauria; Squamata; Dipsadidae. The record is from RNAcentral.
CAAAAACAUAACCUUUAGCCAAACAAAUAUUAAAGGCAACGCCUGCCCAGUGAACAAUUAAACGGCCGCGGUACCCUAACCGUGCAAAGGUAGCGUAAUCAUUUGUCUAUUAAUUGUAGACCAGUAUGAAAGGCAUAAUGAGGGUCUAUCUGUCUCUUAUAAUAAAUCAAUUAAACUGAUCUUCUAGUAAAAAAGCUAGAAUUUACACACAAGACCAGAAGACCCUGUGAAGCUUAAACCAAACUAUUAAACCCUAUAAUACCUACUUUCGGUUGGGGCGACCUUGGAAAAAAAAAGAACUUCCAACAUAUGACUAUAACUCACAUAUCGGCCUACAAGCCUAUACCAGACCCAGUACAACUGAUAACUGAACCAAGUUACUCCAGGGAUAACAGCGCUAUCUUCUUCAAGAGCCCAUAUCAAAAAGAAGGUUUACGACCUCGAUGUUGGAUCAGGACAUCCUAAUGGUGCAACCGCUAUUAAGGGUUCGUUUGUUCAACGAUUAAUAGUCCUACGUGAUCUGA